Acanthosepion pharaonis is the source of this 109-nucleotide non-coding RNA. Lineage: Eukaryota; Metazoa; Mollusca; Cephalopoda; Sepiida; Sepiidae. The record is from the annotation of a GenBank genome assembly.
AGUCAUAUCAUGUGGAAACACCGGUUCUCGUACAUCCACCGAAGUUAAGCAACAUUGAGUCUAGUCAAUACCUAGAUGGGUGACAGCUUGGGGAUAUCAGGUGGUGUCA